Molecule: long non-coding RNA, 2709 nt
Organism: Hemicordylus capensis (graceful crag lizard)
Lineage: Eukaryota; Metazoa; Chordata; Lepidosauria; Squamata; Cordylidae
Exons: 3
Source: RefSeq, a predicted model, not a curated record
ACAAUUAAGCUACACUUGUCCCUAUGGCUCACUCACUUAAAAUCCAUGUUUCUCCCCCCCCCCCGCUCCAGUAUACCACCUCAUGCCCCCUAAAAAGUCAGAGAACAAACAAUCCACAAUAGCCUACUAGUCAGAGAACAAAUAACUCACAUAUAAGUCACAGUACAUAGGCUCAAAAAUGGAUCUCUCCGCCCCAUGCAGGGGUGCUCCAGUCAGUCCAACAUAGGGCAAGAUGGUGUGGCAUCUCCUCCAUGAGGAGAGUUGGUAACAAGCAUGACUUGUCCCUUAGCUAAGCAGGGGCCACCCUGGUUGCAUAUGAAUGGGAGACUAGUAGUGUGAGCACUGUAAGAUAUUCCCCUCAGGGGAUGGAGCUGCUCUGGGAAGAACAGAAGGUUUCAAGUUCCCUCCUUGGCUUCUCCAAGAUAGGGUUGAGAGAGAUUCCUGCCUGAAACCUUGGAGUAGCUGCUGCCAGUCCAUGAAGACAAUAUUGAGCUAGAUAGACCAAUGGUCUGACUUAGUAUAUGGCAGCUUCCUAUGUUUCUCCUCCAGCCACUAAACCCAGAGGUGUAUUAGAUGAGCCAAAUCCAUCGUCUACUACACUCAAACCAAAACUGGAGAACCCACUGCUCUGGGCACCAAAGCCUGUUGUCUGCUGAGAGAGAUCCCAAGGUGAGGGUGUUCUGGCUUGCCAGUGUGCCAAAAGAUACAGUGCUAGCCAUGUUGCCAAAGCCAAAUCCUCCAUUGCUGGCUGCUGCUGUCCCCUCACCGGAGACUUUGCAGGUAGUAGGAGCAAUCUUUUCCUGUUAGGAUUGGCCAGAGGCAGAGCCUUAAAAUCAACUAAGUAUGUCUGCCGGCUUCUCUUCCUCCUCCUCUUCCACUAGGCAGGGCCAGCCCUAGGAUUCUUAGUGCCCUGGCAAUAUUUGACUUUGGCGCGCGCGCGCGCACACACACACACACACACACCAGCCAAGAAGUGCAGAGCGCUGGCUUUAACUUGAGCUAGUCAGGCUGCUCAUUUGUUACGUCCAAUGACCAGCUUAUGCAGAUGACCAACUAAUGACAGCUUGCCCUGGUUUGGGGAUACAGUGGGAGGGGCUUGAGGAACUCAGAGCCCACUCAGAGCCCUCCCUUCCUCUAUUGCCACCCCUUCCCCCUCUCAGCUAUUCGGGCCCUGCAAUCGUCAGGCCCUCUCCCUGAGAUGCGCUUUUAAUGGUGCUGUGAGGAACUUCCCUUUGCAACCAACCAGGCCCAAUUACAGACAAGCCAACCGUCGCCCUCACCACCUACCUCCUGUUAGCGGACCUGCACUUGAGAAAACAGGGUGGAGUAUCUGAGUAGCCACAGCAAUAACAGAAUGGAGGAGGGCAGGGAGGGGGCAGGGACAAAGAGUAUUGAGGAGGGGGAGGAAAGCAAGCCAGAGAACAGCUAAGAACUGGGCCCCGCCUACUUGACUUCUAGGUCUGCCUAGUGGACAGACCAGCCCUGACGCUAGUAUUUUCAUGUACAGAAUAGGCCUCUUCACCUGCCUACUGCUGUUCAGAAGAAAUAUGGGGUAGGAAGUCAGGAGUGGCUGAAGAAAUCUGGGACCUGGAGAACCAAAUGUUGCCCUCUGACACACCCACUCUUGCACACCCCUCCUGCCCCAGCCCCUUUCCUGACUACUCAGUAGUUGAGAAAGGAAUGCAACAGCUCAGCAGCACGUUGUUGCUGUCCUGCCUUUGCUCUUUGCUGCUAGGUUGGUGAUGCACGAGAGUGCUGCUGUACUCAGCAGUAGCAGCCAUGGAGGAAGAAGAGGAGAUGGAAGAGAAGGCAGAGGAAGGAGAAGGGAUCUCUGCCCAUAGAGCUGAUGUAGAGGUGUGCCGCCCAUAGAGUUGAGCUGGCUAGAGUGGUGCUGCUGCCAUUGUGACACUGCUGGCCACAGCAGAGGUGAGCAAGUAAGGGGAGGCAGAAUGGAUCACAGCAGCAGUGCUCCAGUGCAUGGAUUCCAAGAGAGAAAAAGUUUUCCUCCUGCUUCCUAAACCACUCAACCACAGCACUCAUCACAUCAUCGUUGGAAAAUUUGGUUCCCCAUAAGUAUUCCUUCAAGAGCUGACAUGCUUCAGAGAAAUGUCCUCAGAAAAAAGGAACACCACCUAUGGAUACCAAAUUUGCUAUGGAGCCCUCCAAGGAGUUAUAGUAUGCACUGGCAAACUUUAAAUCUAUCAUCACAUUUCAUUCACUGUGUCAUUCUAUGAACUUAUUGCUCAAUCCUCAUUUUUUAUGUUAUGUUAUUUUAUGUGUCACAUUUCAGUACUGCCCAGUCUAAUAGCUCUGGGCACUUUACAAUCCAAACUUUUAUUAGAUCUUGCCCUGAAGUUUUUAGACCUCCUGGUUGUACAAGCUUAAAACUAUGGAAAACUGUGGCGGUAAUUGUGGUGACAAUCGCCAAUAUGAUGCACAAUUCUAACAUGUUCAUAAGAACAUGUGGUACCACUGCAGCAGAGCCAGAAACUGUGGUGCCACUGUAGAAAACUGGUGGUGGCAGCAUUAUCAUAUUUUUCCCAUUGUCAACAAUGGAGAAAAAUGUGGUAAUGCUGGCAGUGCUACCGCCCAUUCUCUAUAGCAGUGCCACUGCUUUCAGCUCUGCUGCAGCAGUGCAGCAGUUUCCUCUGAAGACAUUAGAACUGCACAUCAUGCCAACCAAUGAUAAGCCCUUUAUUAAAAGAUAAA